AUUGAACGCUGGCGGCAUGUCUUACACAUGCAAGUCGAACGGCAGCACGGGUGCUUGCACCUGGUGGCGAGUGGCGAACGGGUGAGUAAUACAUCGGAACAUGUCCUGUAGUGGGGGAUAGCCCGGCGAAAGCCGGAUUAAUACCGCAUACGAUCUACGGAUGAAAGCGGGGGACCUUCGGGCCUCGCGCUAUAGGGUUGGCCGAUGGCUGAUUAGCUAGUUGGUGGGGUAAAGGCCUACCAAGGCGAUGAUCAGUAGCUGGUCUGAGAGGACGACCAGCCACACUGGGACUGAGACACGGCCCAGACUCCUACGGGAGGCAGCAGUGGGGAAUUUUGGACAAUGGGCGAAAGCCUGAUCCAGCAAUGCCGCGUGUGUGAAGAAGGCCUUCGGGUUGUAAAGCACUUUUGUCCGGAAAGAAAUCCUUGGCCCUAAUACGGUCGGGGGAUGACGGUACCGGAAGAAUAAGCACCGGCUAACUACGUG
RNAcentral lists this ribosomal RNA (486 nucleotides) under uncultured bacterium. Its description in RNAcentral is "partial 16S ribosomal RNA". It matches the Rfam family "Bacterial small subunit ribosomal RNA", at positions 30 to 507 of the family's 1533-position model. The record is from RNAcentral.